UACGAAGGGUGCAAGCGUUACUCGGAAUUACUGGGCGUAAAGCGUGCGUAGGUGGUGGUUUAAGUCUGUUGUGAAAGCCCUGGGCUCAACCUGGGAAUUGCAGUGGAUACUGGGUCACUAGAGUGUGGUAGAGGGUAGCGGAAUUCCCGGUGUAGCAGUGAAAUGCGUAGAGAUCGGGAGGAACAUCCGUGGCGAAGGCGGCUACCUGGACCAACACUGACACUGAGGCACGAAAGCGUGGGGAG
RNAcentral lists this ribosomal RNA (245 nucleotides) under uncultured Xanthomonas sp. RNAcentral describes it as "partial 16S ribosomal RNA". It matches the Rfam family "Bacterial small subunit ribosomal RNA", at positions 524 to 768 of the family's 1533-position model. Lineage: Bacteria; Pseudomonadati; Pseudomonadota; Gammaproteobacteria; Lysobacterales; Lysobacteraceae. The record is from RNAcentral.